AGUGAACGCUGGCGGUAGGCCCAACACAUGCAAGUCGAACGGCAGCACAGUAAGAGCUUGCUCUUACGGGUGGCGAGUGGCGGACGGGUGAGGAAUACAUCGGAAUCUACUUUUUCGUGGGGGAUAACGUAGGGAAACUUACGCUAAUACCGCAUACGACCUACGGGUGAAAGCAGGGGAUCUUCGGACCUUGCGCGAUUGAAUGAGCCGAUGUCGGAUUAGCUAGUUGGCGGGGUAAAGGCCCACCAAGGCGACGAUCCGUAGCUGGUUUGAGAGGAUGAUCAGCCACACUGGAACUGAGACACGGUCCAGACUCCUACGGGAGGCAGCAGUGGGGAAUAUUGGACAAUGGGCGCAAGCCUGAUCCAGCCAUACCGCGUGGGUGAAGAAGGCCUUCGGGUUGUAAAGCCCUUUUGUUGGGAAAGAAAAGCAGCAGGUUAAUACCCCGCUGUUCUGACGGUACCCAAAGAAUAAGCACCGGCUAACUUCGUG
This 492-nucleotide ribosomal RNA is filed under the name uncultured bacterium. RNAcentral describes it as "partial 16S ribosomal RNA". It matches the Rfam family "Bacterial small subunit ribosomal RNA", at positions 29 to 507 of the family's 1533-position model. The record is from RNAcentral.